CCCAGUGAUAAUUUAUUUAACGGCCGCGGUAUUUUGACCGUGCAAAGGUAGCAUAAUCAUUUGCCUUUUAAUUGGAGGCUGGAAUGAAUGGAUAUAUGAAAUUAUAACUGUCUCUUAAUUAUAUUUAAAAAUUAUCUUAUAGGUGAAGAGACCUAUAUAUUAAUAAAAGACAAAAAGACCCUAUUGAUCUUUAUUCUUACGAGAUAUUUUAGAAUUAAUGACUUCAUGACUUAAUAGAAUUUGGUUGGGGCGACUAAGAAAUAUAUAAAUCUUUCUUUAUUUUAAUGAAUAUCUUUUCUUAUUAAUGAUCUAUUUUUUAAUAAAUGGAAAUAGUUACCAUAGGGAUAACAGGCUAAUUUUUUUGGAGAGUUCAUAUUGAUAAAAAAGUUUGGCACCUCGAUGUUGGCUUAGAAUAUCCUAUAGGUGUAGCAGCUUAUAAGGGUUGGUUUGUUCAACCAUUAAAAUUCUA
Molecule: ribosomal RNA, 469 nt
Filed under: Vanadis antarctica
Lineage: Eukaryota; Metazoa; Annelida; Polychaeta; Phyllodocida; Alciopidae
Description: partial 16S ribosomal RNA
Rfam family: Bacterial large subunit ribosomal RNA
Source: RNAcentral